Pezoporus occidentalis (night parrot) is the source of this 1566-nucleotide long non-coding RNA. RefSeq lists it as uncharacterized. The transcript has 4 exons. NCBI's taxonomy places the organism in Eukaryota, Metazoa, Chordata, Aves, Psittaciformes, Psittacidae. The record is from RefSeq and is a predicted model, not a curated record.
UUUUUCCCAUUUUUGUUUUUUUUUCACUGAUCUAGGAAUUGCUUUAACUGAACACUGCAGGAUUUAUAACCUGAUGUUUGCUGCCUUUUCCUUUGUUUUAUUUCUUUAAGUCUUUCUUAACCUUUGAGAGUAACUUCUGGAGCAUUCUGAUGGUGGAUCUUGGUCUGCUGUUGGAAGCCUCCAGGCUUCUCAUAUAUCCAGUCUGAGUUGAAAAGUUUUUGUUUUGUUUGUUUGCUUAAACUGAUGACACAAACUAGAUGCACGGACUUUGGGUGAGAUUCGCUGUUGCUCUGCUUUGUGUGACUUAUUCUCCUUUUUUUUUACAGAAAUGUGUUCUAACAGUUCACACUUUGUUACUGUUCUUUGCAAAACUUUUCAGGAGCCAAAAAAAGUCAAACAAUCCAGAGAAAACCUUCCCUUCUCCCCUUUCUGAUGGCGAGAGUGAGAACUCAUGAAAAGUCCUUGAGAAUGUUCCUUCCUAAACUUUUCCCCCCAGUAAUGCAAGCGGGUAAAAUGGUAAAUGCAGCAGUUUGGUGACAUCCAAACCCCACCUGUUGUCAGACACACCCACUUCUUGCGUCUCAGCACUGGGCAGGCCUAUUCCUUUAUUUGUGUAUAUUUUUGUGCAACAGCUGCUAUAGGACACGGGUGUAACACUUUCAGGCAUGUGUUGGGUGUCUUUGGGGAAGAGAUUUGUGGGUUUGUAACAAUGUCUAAAAAACCAGAAUUUCUUUUCCUCAGAUUUGUGAACAAAUUGAUGUUAGCUCACAGUUUUGCAUCUCUUAACCUGAUUUCAUAUAUGUUACGCGAAGGUUUGUUCUUGAAAGACAGACAGUGCUAGUUCUUUGCAGUGUCUUCACACGAUCUUUGGUGGGGAGAGUUGAUAAAAAUUUCAUUCUGCAGAAGUUACUAACUUAAUAUUUAAUGUUGGUUGAAAGGUAGUUUUACAGAUGGUACUCUUUCCUCUUUAUGUAGUGGCUUUCAAAGCCUUGUGUUGAUCUUGGUUGUGCCCAGUGCUUUGCCUAGUGUAUGGGGGAAAUGUUGCAGAACUUGAAUAAGCCGUGACAUCUUAGAUGGUGUAGAUGAUGAUUAUGUGCAUGCUGAACAAGAACUUCUUCUAUAUGCCCUUCUGCUGCAACAGAGUAAUAAAACUGGUAGGUGGCAGCAGCAGCAGAAGAAACUCAUGUGACUGACCUGAGAAACCUCCAGUACUGGGAGAAAUGGAUUGCAAAAUGCUAACUCAACUAAGGGGGACGGAAGAGAAAGGCAGAGUCCCUGAACUGCCCCUUUGAAUGGAAUUUAAUGCUUGAGAAAGAUGCUGGACCAACAGUUGCAGAGAUUGAACUCCUCUACCCACAGGAAAGGUUUUUCUACACCACAGGAGAUCUUCUCUUCUCUUGUACGGGGACACUUGCCUCUUGAUAUAACACCCCCUUCACAAUGAAGUGAAGAAAGGAUAGACCAGCGGCAGUGUCGAAUGGGGUGAUGUCCACACUUGGGGUUAAUAGUCGUAAUAAACACUGUCCUCCUAACAUGGAGAAAUGAAUAAAACAAUUUAAUUCUUAA